GACGAACGCUGGCGGCGUGCUUAACACAUGCAAGUCGAACGGAAAGGCCCUGCUUUUGUUGGGUGCUCGAGUGGCGAACGGGUGAGUAACACGUGGGUAACCUGCCCUUGACUUUGGGAUAACUUCAGGAAACUGGGGCUAAUACCGGAUAGGAGCUCCUGCUGCAUGGUGGGGGGUGGAGAGUUUCGGCGGUUGGGGAUGGACUCGCGGCUUAUCAGCUUGUUGGUGGGGUAGUGGCUUACCAAGGCUUUGACGGGGAGCGGGCCUGAGAGGGUGACCGGCCACAUUGGGACUGAGAUACGGCCCAGACUCCUACGGGAGGCAGCAGUGGGGAAUAUUGCACAAUGGGGGGAAGCCUGAUGCAGCAACGCCGGGUGCGGGAGGACGGCCUUCGGGUUGUAAACCGCUUUCGCCUGUGCCGAAGCGUGAGUGACGGUAAUGGGUAAAGAAGCACCGGCUAACUACGUG
RNAcentral lists this ribosomal RNA (468 nucleotides) under uncultured bacterium. RNAcentral's name for it is "partial 16S ribosomal RNA". It matches the Rfam family "Bacterial small subunit ribosomal RNA", at positions 28 to 507 of the family's 1533-position model. The record is from RNAcentral.